CCUACGGGUGGCAGCAGUGAGGAAUAUUGGUCAAUGGGCGCGAGCCUGAACCAGCCAAGUAGCGUGAAGGAUGACUGCCCUACGGGUUGUAAACUUCUUUUAUAAAGGAAUAAAGUGAGGCACGUGUGCCUUUUUGUAUGUACUUUAUGAAUAAGGAUCGGCUAACUCCGUGCCAGCAGCCGCGGUAAUACGGAGGAUCCGAGCGUUAUCCGGAUUUUUUGGGUUUAAAGGGAGCGUAGAUGGGUUGUUAAGUCAGUUGUGAAAUGUUGCGGCUCAACCGUAAAAUUGCAAGUGAUACUGGCAGUCUUGAGUACAGUUGAGGUAGGCGGAAUUCGUGGUGUAGCGGUGAAAUGCUUAGAUAUCACGAAGAACUCCGAUUGCGAAGGCAGCUUACUAAACUGCCACUGACAUUGAUGCUCGAAAGUGUGGGUAUCAAACAGGAUUAGAUACCCCUGUAGUC
RNAcentral lists this ribosomal RNA (460 nucleotides) under uncultured bacterium. Its description in RNAcentral is "partial 16S ribosomal RNA". It matches the Rfam family "Bacterial small subunit ribosomal RNA", at positions 338 to 795 of the family's 1533-position model. The record is from RNAcentral.